Long non-coding RNA from Peromyscus leucopus (white-footed mouse), 2047 nucleotides. RefSeq lists it as uncharacterized. The record is from RefSeq and is a predicted model, not a curated record. The transcript is spliced from 2 exons. Lineage: Eukaryota; Metazoa; Chordata; Mammalia; Rodentia; Cricetidae.
AUAGAUAGAGAUAGAUAGAUGAUAGAGGUAGGUAGAUGAUAGGCAUAGGUUUAUAGAUGAUAUAGCUAUAGAACUUCCUGUGAAGUUCCUAGGUCCACCCAUCAAAGCAUCUGCUUUUCCCCAUCCUGUCCUCAGCUGAGCUUCCUCCCGAAUGGCUGAGUUAAUAGUGACUGUGGUGUUGCCCCCUGUGCCACACUCACCGCCCCUGUGCAGAGAGCGGCUGCGCAGUGGUGGGAUGGUUUCAUUAGCUCCGACCUGAGUUGGCACUCUUUGGCAAGCACAUGCUGCCUCAUGGCUGGGACUAUGGCUUCUUACCCACCAGUUUUCAUUUCUCAUGGAAGGACAAUUGAUAGAAAAUCACAGCUGCCACUUCAGUAUCGAGGAACCAGACAGCACUGGCCAUGGGAUAGCGCUUUUCCUCUGUGGUGACUCGGUUUGUAGCCAGUGGCUAAAUUACUCAGGCUCUGUCCUUGCAGACAUGUCUGACUUAUGGCCUGAGGGAGGUUUGGGGGAGUCAACGUCUGUGUUUGUAUUGUGGUGACCUCAUACAUGACAAGAUCACUGGUUGCUGAGGGCAUCAUCUCAGCAUAUGGUCAUGAAUCGCCACAUCAGCAUUCUGAAAGGCCAUGGCCAAUACUUUCCAACAUGCUGCAUGUGAAUACACGCUCCUACAGAUCUUAUUGCAGAAGUACAUCCAGCCUUCCAUAUCUUUCAAAUUUGUGUAGGGAUGGGAGAUUUUAGGGAACAAAAUCACCCCUGCAGGGAACAUGAAUAACUGUUUCUUCUCUUCGCACUUCCUAAACCCCAUGGUGUGGCAGCUGCUGGCCUUGUGUUCUCUAUCAGGUAGAGGAUUGAUCCAGAGGGCUUGAAAGCACUUGUAUUGGAUUAUACACAAGCACUGCAUCUCUUUGUGAAAUGGAUUUGUGCAUCCUAGGAGUUCAGUAUCCUGGGGAUCCUGGAACUACCUCCUGUGGCUACUGAGGGAUGAGUGUGGUUAUAGUUUCAGUACUGUUUAAGAAACUGAGGUAGAAGCAGCAAAUUCAAGAUCAUCAGUACUCCCAGACAGAACAUUCCUACAUCUCCCGGGAGAGCAAACACCUGCAUUGUGAAACAUGCCUUCAUCCUGUUCUUGCCUCUGAGCCUGCAGGGGUCUCCAUGGACUCCGGGAGCCUUGUGAUGCUCACACGACUCCUUUGAAAGAAGCUUCCAGUCAUUUGCCUUUACUACUCUGGUUCUGGCUCUGGGUUUUGUGGCUAUGUGAGGUUCUACAACUUGGUGAAAUUUCUGGGAUUCAGACUUUUCAUACACAGACAGGUACCCUAAAAGUCAUUUCUCAGGGUUGCUGUGAACAAGCCUGAAGUAUGAUUCCCACUGUACUAUAAAGUACAUGGUUAUGCCAACUCAUUAUGGGAAGGGUCACAAUAGAAAGGCACCAGUGUUCACAUGGCAUGUGUCUCGGGGUCCGGCAGAUGCUAAGUCAGCUCCUGAGAUGUGCUUUGAGACCCUCCUUUCUAUGAGGAAUGGGUGAAGCUGCCUUGGAACCCAAUCUCCCUCCACCUUUGUUAUUAUUUUUGAAGUAAUAAUGUUAACCUUUUGUUUUAAUUCCCUGGUUAUUCCCCUGGCUGCAGCUAGAGAUUUUAUCCUUUGGCAAAAGAAAGCAGUUUUAUUAGUGAAGCAAGCAGUUAAUUAAAAAGAAAAAUCAAAGGCUGGAGUUUGUUGGGGAAAACAACUGAAAUCAAACACAGCAUGUCAAUCUUCAACUCCUCCCAGUCCUGGCUCGGGCAGAUGGCGUGAACGCAGUGGGGACUCAGGGACACGUGGUCACAUGGUGCUCAUAAUGGCUGCAGCUCACUGUCUUCCACGGAACCCAGGUCAUCUGUGACCCAAGUCAGACCUGACCUUGGCCUGAAUACUCCAUCACCAUGAGAAGCUGGAUUGUCUACCUUGAGCACAACCCUCUCUAGAGGGAGGAAGGACAUAGUCUUGCUAAAACUGCCUAAAGUCUCAGAAUUCAAUUAAAGUGGACUUAAUUUUAUAAUCAUCUGCA